This 240-nucleotide ribosomal RNA is filed under the name uncultured bacterium. RNAcentral's name for it is "partial 16S ribosomal RNA". It matches the Rfam family "Bacterial small subunit ribosomal RNA", at positions 28 to 269 of the family's 1533-position model. The record is from RNAcentral.
GACGAACGCUGGCGGCGUGCUUAACACAUGCAAGUCGAGCGGUAAGGCCCUUUCGGGGGUACACGAGCGGCGAACGGGUGAGUAACACGUGGGUGACCUGCCCUCAGCUCUGGGAUAAGCCCGGGAAACUGGGUCUAAUACUGGAUAUGACUCCAUGACGCAUGUUGUGGGGUGGAAAGCCUUGUGCGGCUGAGGAUGGGCCCGCGGCCUAUCAGCUUGUUGGGGGGGUGAUGGCCUACC